UACGGAAGGCAGCAUGGGGAAUAUUGCACAAUGGGCGAAAGCCUGAUGCAGCUAUGCCGCGUGUAUGAAGAAGGCCUUAGGGUUGUAAAGUACUUUCAUCGGGGAGGAAAAAAACAAAACUAAUAAUUUUAUUUCUUGACGUUACCCGAAAAAGAAGCACCGGCUAACUCCGUGCCAGCAGCCGCGGUAAUACGGAGGGUGCUAGCGUUAAUCAGAAUUACUGGGCGUAAAGAGCACGUAGGUGGUUUUUUUAAGUCAGAUGUGAAAUCCCUGGGCUUAACCUAGGAACUGCAUUUUGAAACUGAAAUACUAGAGUAUCGUAGAGGGAGGUAGAAUUCUAGGUGUAGCGGUGAAAUGCGUAGAUAUCUGGAGGAAUACCUGUGGCGAAAGCGGCCUCCUAAACGAAUACUGACACUGAGGUGCGAAAAGCGUGGGGAGCAAACAGGGAUUUAGGAUACC
Molecule: ribosomal RNA, 459 nt
Filed under: uncultured bacterium
Lineage: Bacteria
Description: bacterial SSU rRNA
Rfam family: Bacterial small subunit ribosomal RNA
Source: RNAcentral